Molecule: ribosomal RNA, 379 nt
Filed under: uncultured bacterium
Lineage: Bacteria
Description: bacterial SSU rRNA
Rfam family: Bacterial small subunit ribosomal RNA
Source: RNAcentral
AACGAACGCUGGCGGCGCGCCUAACACAUGCAAGUCGAACGAGAAGCUGUAGCAAUACAGUUGUACAGUGGCGAACGGGUGAGGAAUACAUGGGUGACCUACCCUCGAGUGGGGAAUAACCAGCCGAAGGUUGGCUAAUACCGCGUACGUUUCCCAGUCUGCGGAUUGGGGAAGGAAAGCGAUGCCGUGAGUAUCGCGCUCAAGGUUGGGCUCAUGUCCUAUCAGCNGUUGGUGAGGUAACGGCUCACCAAGGCAACGACGGGUAGCUGGUCUGAGAGGACGAUCAGCCACACUGGCACUGCGACACGGGCCAGACUCCUACGGGAGCAGCAGUGAGGAAUAUUGCGCAAUGGGCGAAAGCCUGACGCAGCGACGCCGC